GUCUGCUGCUCCAAGCAACAAACGUUUUUGUUGGCUAAAUUUUUAUGUGUAAUUUAUGUCACAAUUCAAUGUAAGAAAUGUGUUUGAAAGUGACAUGAAAUAACUUUUUAAAAAAUGAAAUCCAAAUUUUACAGUCUGCAGUCAUAGCAUGGCAUGUGAGACACACGUGGUUGGAGGUAUGGAAAUGGCCAACAGGAGAUGCAUUCUCCAAGUUCUGCUGGGAAAGUGGGGCUAUUCUGGAGACUGAUGAGGCAACAUGGCACCCAUUCAAUGACCAAAAAAGAGAAGCCGCCAGAAGGAGCUGUAAUAACUUAAACACACCCAACCCUGAAGAACACAAACAAAGGAGACGGCAGACUCUCGUCCAGCCCGGUGCAUUCGAAAUCCCAUGCAGGAUCAAGAAUGCAAAACUUUUGGUUUAUUCACAAGCUGUAGCUUCAGACUGUACUUUUGCAAAGGUAAUGCAUACUAAAGUUUUACUAUCAAAAACAGACAUGUACAGAAAACAUCAGAGAGAUGUCAAGACAUACAUACAUUCAUCUUGUGCAAAUUCACCCGGACACAUUUAGAGGCCAUGGAGUUCUACAGGAGUUUAACAACCUUUGAUUGAAUCAGGCAAUU
Long non-coding RNA from Lates calcarifer (barramundi perch), 621 nucleotides. RefSeq lists it as uncharacterized. The record is from RefSeq and is a predicted model, not a curated record. The transcript has 2 exons. Lineage: Eukaryota; Metazoa; Chordata; Actinopteri; Centropomidae.